CUCACAGACAGAUUGUCAUGAGGUACCUCCCGCUGCAAGAUCUGAGCAAAAUGCUGUUUCAGUUUAACCAGCCUCACUCAGCCUAAGUGGUACCUACUGUCACUGCAUACUCACUGAGAGCAUUGCCCAGAAGAGAUACAGAACAAGCCUCCCAGAAGAGUCUGAUUCAACUAGAUUCACAGCAGGGAGCGAGAUAGUGAUCACAGGUGCCUAAAGGCCCAGUCUUGGAGUGACAGUCCUGCCCCUGUGGAAUUGAGUGCAUCUUUGGGGCCCAGCCCACUAACGAGGUGGUUCUCAAGGAAAUUAUUAAAGGCUGGGGCAUAGACCAGAGUGACCCUGGGGAUCUGUGACAUUCUGCAUCACCGAAGCCCCAAGUCACUGGAAGUUUCACCAGGGACCUCAAUGAGAGAAAAAUCUGAUUCUUAGAAUGGGGAAAAUGAGAGUCAGGUGUAAUCCUCAGGGCUCCAUCAGGAAUAUGCCUGGCAAGGAAAAUUAAAGUACUGGUCCCUUCAGGUAUUCACUGUGGAUGCGCAUGUGCUCGGCGCACCCUGGACCAGAAAUUCUUCAGUAGCAGCAUCCAUUGGUCUACGCCUGCAUCCUGCGACUGCUUAUGCUCCCAGACAAAGGCAUAAGGGGCAGCACUGUCCAACCACCUCUCUUUUUAUUGCUCACUGUCUGGGAUGGAACCCUCCUGUGUCCAUUUCUGCUCUUCAGCAUUCGGCUUCCUCAAACCUACCCCAAGCAAUCUUAUGAAUUCAGGAUCUGGAGACACCUUGUGGAGCUCAACAUGAGGCCCUGUUUGAACCCUGCACCCUCCUGCUCCCCAUCUGGAGCCUCCAGGAAGCACCCCUCCAGCAUCUGGUCCUGACAGAUCAGAGCCCUCAAUUUAUCUUACAGAGAAGAAAAAUGCCCAAUUGCAUUGAAGAUUAUCCUGUAUGGACCUUGAAUUUAAAGUGUAAAUAAGGUACUACAAUUUUUGUAAUUCGCUUAUUGCUUAUAUUUGCUUUGAAUUUUGUGCUUAGUAAAAAAUUGUGUUGUGUGCAUUUUAAAAAUAAAAUAAUAAUAAUAAAUAAUUAAUAAUACUGAGUUCGAGCAAAAUUAAAAAGGU
Mauremys reevesii (Reeves's turtle) is the source of this 1108-nucleotide long non-coding RNA. RefSeq lists it as uncharacterized. The record is from RefSeq and is a predicted model, not a curated record. Lineage: Eukaryota; Metazoa; Chordata; Testudines; Geoemydidae. The transcript has 5 exons.